UGGUGGAGUGAUUUGUCUGGUUAAUUCCGUUAACGAACGAGACCUCGACCUGCUAAAUAGUCCGGCGAACCUUCGGGUUCGUGCGGGCUUCUUAGAGGGACUAUCGGUGUUUCUAGCCGAUGGAAGUUCGAGGCAAUAACA
Molecule: ribosomal RNA, 141 nt
Filed under: uncultured eukaryote
Lineage: Eukaryota
Description: partial 18S ribosomal RNA
Rfam family: Eukaryotic small subunit ribosomal RNA
Source: RNAcentral